This is a long non-coding RNA of Mya arenaria, 526 nucleotides long. RefSeq lists it as uncharacterized. The transcript has 4 exons. The record is from RefSeq and is a predicted model, not a curated record. Lineage: Eukaryota; Metazoa; Mollusca; Bivalvia; Myida; Myidae.
UUCAAAACAAAGAACCGCUUCUUGGUUGCACAAACACCUCUACCUGACACAGUUUCCGAUUUCAUUGCACUUGUUGUUCAAGAAAACUGUUCCUGUAUUGUUAGUUUGGAAUCACAUGGGAUUGGCUUGUACGUUCCUGGUGACGAUCAAUCAAUGAUGAAAGGUGUGAUUUCCAUAUUUUCAACAAGAGUUCAAAGUACGAGACACUUUGUAAAAAGAGAGCUGCAUUUUAAACACGACGGAAAGACCAAGUCGGAGGUGAGAAUACCACACUAUGAAUAUUUAGAUUGGGAUAAAAAUUACAAUACUCCGAAGUCAGCAGAACACUUUGUUGCCUUCAUCAAAGAGGUUGAAAACGCAUCCAAAUCAUCUCACUUGAACGGACCGAUACUGGUGCAUUGUAUGAACGGCGCUGGUAAGAGCGGACUUUUAUGUGUUGUCUCGACAUUACUUGAAACACUGAGUGAAGAUAAUGAAGUCAGUGUGGUUAAUGCGGUAAGGAAAGUCAGAGCAAGACGACCGCUUU